This 400-nucleotide long non-coding RNA is filed under the name Haliotis rubra (blacklip abalone). Its description in RNAcentral is "uncharacterized LOC124288906, transcript variant X1". The record is from RNAcentral. Lineage: Eukaryota; Metazoa; Mollusca; Gastropoda; Lepetellida; Haliotidae.
CUGGAUUUGUACCAAAGAAGGGGAGAACAGACUCCAAACAAGAGUAGAUGUGAUGACACCAAGAAAGAGCAGCCACAUAUUACCUCGAGAGGUUAACCAGAAUGCAAAUCAACAGAAUAUGAUGCUGACCAAGUACCAGGAAGAGGUGUCCCCAUCACUGUAGACGACAAGUGAUGACAGUUAUCUUGAUGGACUACAGGAAUGAUUCAAGUGCAUUCAUUAUGCAGUUUACUGAUUUGUUUGAUGUAUUUUGAUAAUUGUUCUGGCAUUCUGAUGUCAGCUGAGUAACACUUCCAUAAUGGAGACAAAUUAAGGAUCUUCUGUUUUGAAGCAGUAAAAUAGUCUCAGCAAGAAUUUUUAUUUAUUUUGCCAGCAGAACAGAAGUUUCCAUUAAUUUUCC